CUAGGACGAAGUGACUGACACCACGCUUCCAGGAAAAGCCACUAAGCUUCAGCUUAAGAAAAACCGUACCGCGAACCGACACAGGUAGGCAGGGUGAGAGUCCCAAGGCGCUUGAGAGAACUCGGGUGAAGGAACUAGGCAAAAUGGCACCGUAACUUCGGGAGAAGGUGCGCCCUUUGGUGUGGUCACGUGCGUGACUGAGCAUUGAAGGGUCGCAGUAACCUGGCCGUUGCGACUGUUUAUCAAAAACACAGCACUCUGCAAACACGAAAGUGGACGUAUAGGGUGUGACGCCUGCCCGGUGCUGGAAGGUUAAUUGAUGGGGUCAGCCGCAAGGCGAAGCUCUUGAUCGAAGCCCCAGUAAACGGCGGCCGUAACUAUAACGGUCCUAAGGUAGCGAAAUUCCUUGUCGGGUAAGUUCCGACCUGCACGAAUGGCGUAACGACAGCGGCGCUGUCUCCACUCGAGACUCAGUGAAAUUGAAAUCGCUGUGAAGAUGCAGCGUUCCCGCGGCAAGACGGAAAGACCCCGUGAACCUUUACUAUAGCUUUACACUGAACGUUGAGUUCUUCUGUGUAGGAUAGGUGGGAGGCUAUGAAACCAGGACGCUAGUUCUGGUGGAGCCAUCCUUGAAAUACCACCCUGAAGUGCUUGACGUUCUAACCUAGGCCCGUAAUCCGGGUCAGGGACCGUGUAUGGUGGGUAGUUUGACUGGGGCGGUCUCCUCCCAAAGAGUAACGGAGGAGCACGAAGGUACGCUCAGCGCGGUCGGACAUCGCGCACUGUGUGCAAAGGCAUAAGCGUGCUUGACUGCGAGAUCGACGGAUCAAGCAGGUACGAAAGUAGGUCUUAGUGAUCCGGUGGUUCUGUAUGGAAGGGCCAUCGCUCAACGGAUAAAAGGUACUCCGGGGAUAACAGGCUGAUACCGCCCAAGAGUUCAUAUCGACGGCGGUGUUUGGCACCUCGAUGUCGGCUCAUCACAUCCUGGGGCUGUAGCCGGUCCCAAGGGUAUGGCUGUUCGCCAUUUAAAGUGGUACGCGAGCUGGGUUCAGAACGUCGUGAGACAGUUCGGUCCCUAUCUGUCGUGGGCGUUGGAGAUUUGAGGGGGGCUGCUCCUAGUACGAGAGGACCGGAGUGGACGUUCCGCUGGUGUUCGGGUUGUCAUGCCCAUGGCAUUGCCCGGUAGCUACGAACGGAAGUGAUAACCGCUGAAAGCAUCUAAGCGGGAAGCACGCCCCAAGAUGAGAUCUCCCGAGAGCUUGACUCUCCUAAAGGCACCAUCAAGACUAGGUGGUUGAUAGGUCAGGUGUGGAAGCGCAGCAAUGCGUUGAGCUAACUGAUACUAAUGAGCCGUGAGGCUUGACCAG
This 1367-nucleotide ribosomal RNA is filed under the name metagenome. RNAcentral describes it as "bacterial LSU rRNA". It matches the Rfam family "Bacterial large subunit ribosomal RNA", at positions 1580 to 2925 of the family's 2925-position model. The record is from RNAcentral.